This 242-nucleotide unclassified non-coding RNA is filed under the name plant metagenome. RNAcentral's name for it is "partial contains small subunit ribosomal RNA, internal transcribed spacer 1, and 5.8S ribosomal RNA". The record is from RNAcentral.
UAUCCGUUGGUGAACCAGCGGAGGGAUCAUUAAAGAGUUGCAAAACUCCCAAACCAUUGUGAACAUACCUUCAACGUUGCUUCGGCGGGUUGGCCCCGGUCUCCGGGGUCCCCGGCCCUCACGGGCGCCCGCCGGAGGUACCUAACUCUUGAACUGGGAUGGCCUCUCUGAGGCUUGGUACUUAAUAAGUCAAAACGUUCAACGACGGAUCUCGGGGUUCUGGCAUCGAGGAAGAACGCAGC